This 165-nucleotide unclassified non-coding RNA is filed under the name uncultured Ascomycota. RNAcentral's name for it is "sequence contains ITS1". Lineage: Eukaryota; Fungi; Ascomycota. The record is from RNAcentral.
CAUGUUUGAAUUAGCUGCUCCCCCCUUAACACGGGGCCAGUUAUUCUUCUACCCAUGCCUUUUUGCGUACUGCUUGUUUCCUCGGUAGCCUCGCCUACCGAUAGGACAACUCAAAAACCCUUUUUUUGCAAUUGCAAUCAGCGUCAAAAGAUAACUUAAUAGUUA